This 272-nucleotide ribosomal RNA is filed under the name Staphylococcus aureus. RNAcentral's name for it is "partial 23S ribosomal RNA". It matches the Rfam family "Bacterial large subunit ribosomal RNA", at positions 1225 to 1495 of the family's 2925-position model. Lineage: Bacteria; Bacillati; Bacillota; Bacilli; Caryophanales; Staphylococcaceae. The record is from RNAcentral.
AUGGUAGGAGAGCGUUCUAAGGGCGUUGAAGCAUGAUCGUAAGGACAUGUGGAGCGCUUAGAAGUGAGAAUGCCGGUGUGAGUAGCGAAAGACGGGUGAGAAUCCCGUCCACCGAUUGACUAAGGUUUCCAGAGGAAGGCUCGUCCGCUCUGGGUUAGUCGGGUCCUAAGCUGAGGCCGACAGGCGUAGGCGAUGGAUAACAGGUUGAUAUUCCUGUACCACCUAUAAUCGUUUUAAUCGAUGGGGGGACGCAGUAGGAUAGGCGAAGCGUG